RNAcentral lists this ribosomal RNA (1657 nucleotides) under human gut metagenome. RNAcentral's name for it is "bacterial LSU rRNA". It matches the Rfam family "Bacterial large subunit ribosomal RNA", at positions 310 to 1989 of the family's 2925-position model. The record is from RNAcentral.
UGGCAAGAACGAGGAUAGGAGAACGGGAUCGAAAGCCCGGCCGAAGAAGGUGAAAGCCCUGUAACCGAAAUCCAAGGGAAGCCUAAUGGGAUCCUGAGUACGGCGAGACACGAGAAAUCUUGUCGGAAGCAGGCGGGACCAUCCGCCAAGGCUAAAUAUAAACGAGUGAGCGAUAGUGAACCAGUACCGUGAGGGAAAGGUGAAAAGAACCGCGGGAGCGGAGUGAAAGAGAACCUGAAACCGUAUGCCUACAAGAAGUCAGAGCCCGUUAAGGGGUGAUGGCGUGCCUUUUGUAGAAUGAACCGGCGAGUUGCGACAGACUGCGAGGUUAAGGAGGAAAGACCGGAGCCGAAGCGAAAGCGAGUCUUAAGAGGGCGAAAGUAGGAUGUUGCAGACCCGAAACCGGGUGAUCUAGCCAUGAGCAGGUUGAAGUUGAGGUGAAACUCAAUGGAGGACCGAACCGACUACCGUUGAAAAGUUAGCGGAUGACUUGUGGCUAGGGGAGAAAUUCCAAUCGAACCCGGAGAUAGCUGGUUCUCCCCGAAAUAGCUUUAGGGCUAGCGUCGGAAAGAACCUUAGUGAAGGUAGAGCACUGAAUGUGUGAUGGCCCCAUCCCGGGGUACUGAAUACAAUCAAACUGCGAAUGUCAUUAAGGAUGUCCGGCAGUCAGACUGUGAGUGAUAAGGUCCAUGGUCAAGAGGGAAACAGCCCAGACCGCCAGUUAAGGUCCCAAAAUACAGGCUAAGUGGAAAAGGAUGUGGGGAUGCCCAGACAACUAGGAGGUUGGCUUAGAAGCAGCCAUCCUUUAAAGAGUGCGUAACAGCUCACUAGUCGAGGGACCCUGCGCCGAAAAUGUACCGGGGCUAAGCCUGAUACCGAAACUGCGGAUUGUAGGAAACUAUAGUGGUAGGGGAGCGUUGUAUACGAGCAGAAGCCGUACCGUGAGGAGCGGUGGAUUGUAUAGAAGUGAGAAUGCCGGUGUGAGUAGCGAGAUGUAGGUGAGAAUCCUACACACCGAAAGCCCAAGGAUUCCAGGGGAAGGUUCGUCCGCCCUGGGUAAGUCGGGACCUAACGCGAGGCCGAAAGGCGUAGUGGAUGGAAAGUAGGCGAAAGAUUCCUGCACCCGUAUAUGGAGCGAAGGAGUGACGGAGACGGAUAGUGUGACCCUCUUAAUGGAUUGAGGGCGAAGCGAAGCGGCUGGUUACCAGGCAAAUCCGGUAACCUUAAGGCUAGAGCGUGACAGGUAAGCGAAAUCUUAGGAAAGUAGCGAAGCACAUGAUGACGGCUUCCAGGAAAAGCUUCUGGCAAUGCAUAUGCGGCCCGUACCAAAACCGACACAGGUGGGCAGGGAGAGAAUCCCGAGGUGAGCGAGAGAACUGUUGCCAAGGAACUCGGCAAAAUGACUCCGUAAGUUAGCGAGAAGGAGUGCUUAAGCAAUUAAGCCGCAGUGAAGAGGCCCAAGCGACUGUUUAACUAAAACACAGCUCUCUGCGAAGUCGCAAGACGAAGUAUAGGGGGUGACACCUGCCCGGUGCUGGAAGGUUAAGAGGAUCUGUUAAGAGCGAUCUGAAGCAGUGAUCCGAAGCCCCAGUGAACGGCGGCCGUAACUAUAACGGUCCUAAGGUAGCGAAAUUCCUUGUCAGGUAAGUUCUGACCC